This 253-nucleotide ribosomal RNA is filed under the name uncultured bacterium. RNAcentral's name for it is "partial 16S ribosomal RNA". It matches the Rfam family "Bacterial small subunit ribosomal RNA", at positions 524 to 776 of the family's 1533-position model. The record is from RNAcentral.
UACGUAGGUGGCAAGCGUUGUCCGGAUUUACUAGGCGUAAAGGGCGUGCAGGCGGUCUGUUAAGUCUAGGGUGAAAGCUCCCGGCUCAACUGGGAGAGGUCCUUGGAUACUGGCGGACUUGAGGGAUGCAGAGGAAAGUGGAAUUCCCGGUGUAGUGGUGAUAUGCGUAGAUAUCGGGAGGAACACCUGUGGCGAAAGCGGCUCACUGGACCACAACUGACGCUGAGGCGCGAAAGCUAGGGGAGCAAACAGG